UUUUAAACUUUCAAAUAUUUUUUUAUUUGCAUAUUUUAUGCCUCUUUCCAAUCAGGACGAUUACUAAGGGUCGGCGCCAGUUUCAACCACGGGUUGCACCCACACCCAUGGAGACGGCCGGAUGAUGAAGGACGGGAAUCGCCAGGCCGUGCCUAGCACUCCGAAAAACUUUUUCAGGAGUUUCCAGACCCGGAACGCAAACCAGAAUCCUCCUACAUGGCACGCUGACAGCGUUACCACUCGGUCAUCCGGCCGUCAAGUUUUAAAUAUUAUCAACCGGGUAAAGCGUGUUAUACUACUUUUCUUGAUGGUCUGGAUUCAAUUCCUGGCUGUCAUACCUCCAGUUUUUCAGCAAGUAUUCGACCCUGCUCGUAGGACUACACCUUCACCAGGAAUAUCGGCCAGAUGAAAAACGGCGUUAAAUCAUAUAGAGAGAGGAAAAACAACAUUCAAAUAUUAUCAUAAAUGAAAAUACGUACUAUAUUUAAUUUCCAAAUAGCGUAUUUAUAAAUGACUUUAAUAAAUAUAUAGUAUUUAUUUUCUAUUUUCUAUUUUUGUAAAAAUUAACUAGAUCGUUUUUGUUUUUAG
Molecule: long non-coding RNA, 588 nt
Filed under: Androctonus crassicauda
Lineage: Eukaryota; Metazoa; Arthropoda; Arachnida; Scorpiones; Buthidae
Source: RNAcentral